RNAcentral lists this ribosomal RNA (313 nucleotides) under uncultured eukaryote. RNAcentral describes it as "partial 18S ribosomal RNA". It matches the Rfam family "Eukaryotic small subunit ribosomal RNA", at positions 1470 to 1796 of the family's 1831-position model. The record is from RNAcentral.
CCCUUAGAUGUCCUGGGCCGCACGCGCGUUACACUGAUGCAUUCAACGAGCUUAUAACCUUGGCCGAGAGGCCCGGGCAAUCUUGUUAACGUGCAUCGUGAUAGGGAUAGAUUAUUGAAAUUAUUAAUCUUGAACGAGGAAUUCCUAGUAAACGCAGAUCAUCAAUCUGCAUUGAUUACGUCCCUGCCCUUUGUACACACCGCCCGUCGCACCUACCGAUUUUGAGUGGUCCGGUGAACCUUCUGGAUUGUGCGGCUUGCCGCGCGAGAAGUUAUGUAAACCUUAUCACUUAGAGGAAGGAGAAGUCGUAACA